This 219-nucleotide non-coding RNA is filed under the name unclassified sequences. Its description in RNAcentral is "IS605-orfB-I RNA". It matches the Rfam family "IS605-orfB-I RNA". The record is from Rfam by way of RNAcentral.
AUCCUAUACAGAUGUAUCAACGCUAGUCAAUUGGGCAUCUCCCUGUAGGAUUAAGUUUAUUUAUCAGAAGCUCUGGUAACAAUUUUCAUUGCGUGGCUACGGUCGAAAUGAGAUGAGUCAGAGUGGAAUAGGUUAUCCGUAAGACCUUGAGUUGGAAAACUCUAAAUUGGAGCUAGAGAUAUGGAUUUCUUAAAUUUUGCAUUUUCUGGUUACGGAGGC